AACCCGAGAGAGUCGGGCCGUUCCCCGUUCGGGGGACAGGGUGACAGGUGGUGCAUGGUUGUCGUCAGCUCGUGUCGUGAGAUGUUGGGUUAAGUCCCGCAACGAGCGCAACCCCUACGUUUAGUUGCUAACGCGUGAAGGCGAGCACUCUAGACGAACUGCCGUUGACAAAACGGAGGAAGGUGGGAUGACGUCAAAUCAUCAUGCCCCUUAUGUUCUGGGCUACACACGUGCUACAAUGGCCGGUACAGACGGACGCAAAGCCGCGAGGUGGAGCAAAUCCUAAAAAGCCGGUCUCAGUUCGGAUUGCAGGCUGCAAUUCGCCUGCAUGAAGUCGGAAUCGCUAGUAAUCGCAGGUCAGCAUACUGCGGUGAAUACGUUCCCGGGCCUU
This 391-nucleotide ribosomal RNA is filed under the name uncultured Pelotomaculum sp. Its description in RNAcentral is "bacterial SSU rRNA". It matches the Rfam family "Bacterial small subunit ribosomal RNA", at positions 996 to 1382 of the family's 1533-position model. Lineage: Bacteria; Bacillati; Bacillota; Clostridia; Eubacteriales; Desulfotomaculaceae. The record is from RNAcentral.